This 433-nucleotide ribosomal RNA is filed under the name uncultured bacterium. RNAcentral's name for it is "partial 16S ribosomal RNA". It matches the Rfam family "Bacterial small subunit ribosomal RNA", at positions 29 to 507 of the family's 1533-position model. The record is from RNAcentral.
AACGAACGCUGGCGGCAUGCCUAACACAUGCAAGUCGAACGAGACCUUCGGGUCUAGUUGCGCACGGGUGCGUAACGCGUGGGAACCUGCCCUUAGGUUCGGAAUAACUCCCCGACAGGGGUGCUAAUACCGGAUAAUGUCUUCGGACCAAAGAUUUAUCGCCUUUGGAUGGGCCCGCGUUGGAUUAGCUAGUUGGUAGGGUAAAAGCCUACCAAGGCGACGAUCCAUAGCUGGUCUGAGAGGAUGAUCAGCCACACUGGGACUGAGACACGGCCCAGACUCCUACGGGAGGCAGCAGUGGGGAAUAUUGGACAAUGGGCGAAAGUCUGAUCCAGCAAUGCCGCGUGAGUGAUGCAGGCCUUAGGGUUGUAAAGCUCUUUUAACCGGGAUGAUAAUGACAGUACCGGGAGAAUAAGCUCCGGCUAACUCCGUG